GAUGAACGCUGGCGGCGUGCCUAAUACAUGCAAGUCGAGCGAACAGACGAGGAGCUUGCUCCUUCGACGUUAGCGGCGGACGGGUGAGUAACACGUAGGUAACCUACCUAUAAGACUGGGAUAACUUCGGGAAACCGGAGCUAAUACCGGAUAAUAUUUCGAACCGCAUGGUUCGAUAGUGAAAGAUGGCUUUGCUAUCACUUAUAGAUGGACCUGCGCCGUAUUAGCUAGUUGGUAAGGUAACGGCUUACCAAGGCAACGAUACGUAGCCGACCUGAGAGGGUGAUCGGCCACACUGAACUGAGACACGGUCCAGACUCCUACGGGAGGCAGCAGUAGGGAAUCUUCCGCAAUGGGCGAAAGCCUGACGGAGCAACGCCGCGUGAGUGAUGAAGGUCUUCGGAUCGUAAAACUCUGUUAUUAGGGAAGAACAAACGUGUAAGUAACUGUGCACGUCUUGACGGUACCUAAUCAGAAAGCCACGGCUAACUACGUG
Molecule: ribosomal RNA, 496 nt
Filed under: uncultured bacterium
Lineage: Bacteria
Description: partial 16S ribosomal RNA
Rfam family: Bacterial small subunit ribosomal RNA
Source: RNAcentral